Molecule: ribosomal RNA, 435 nt
Filed under: uncultured bacterium
Lineage: Bacteria
Description: partial 16S ribosomal RNA
Rfam family: Bacterial small subunit ribosomal RNA
Source: RNAcentral
AGCGAACGCUGGCGGCAGGCUUAACACAUGCAAGUCGAGCGGGCACUUUCGGGUGUCAGCGGCGGACGGGUGAGGAACGCGUGGGAACGUGCCCUCUGGUUCGGAAUAACUCAGGGAAACUUGAGCUAAUACCGGAUACGCCCUUUUGGGGAAAGGCUUGCUGCCGGAGGAUCGGCCCGCGUCUGAUUAGCUAGUUGGUGAGGUAACGGCUCACCAAGGCGACGAUCAGGAGCUGGUCUGAGAGGAUGAUCAGCCACACUGGGACUGAGACACGGCCCAGACUCCUACGGGAAGCAGCAGUGGGGAAUAUUGGACAAUGGGCGCAAGCCUGAUCCAGCCAUGCCGCGUGAGUGAUGAAGGCCUUAGGGUUGUAAAGCUCUUUUAUCCGGGACGAUAAUGACGGUACCGGAGGAAUAAGCCCCGGCUAACUUCGUG